This 90-nucleotide transfer RNA is filed under the name Gordonia phage Bachita. RNAcentral's name for it is "tRNA-OTHER". It matches the Rfam family "tRNA". Rfam says of the family: Transfer RNA (tRNA) molecules are approximately 80 nucleotides in length. Their secondary structure includes four short double-helical elements and three loops (D, anti-codon, and T loops). RNAcentral also lists the same sequence under 1 other name. The record is from RNAcentral. Lineage: Duplodnaviria; Heunggongvirae; Uroviricota; Caudoviricetes.
UCCUCGGUAGCUCAAUAGGCAGAGCAGAGACUGACGAGUCUUUAUCGCGAGAGCGGAAGAUGCGGUGUUCGAAUCCCGUCCGAGGAGCAA